AGGAGUUGCAGAUGAGGCGGGAGCGCUUGAGAGAAAGAGAGGAAAAGGUGAAAAAGGAAGAGGAGAAACUUACUUACUGCAAGAAAAUGAGGCAAGACGGUUACAUGCCAUAGAAUAAACAAACGAAGAGGAAGCUAAAAUUAAAGAGAAGGAAGACAAUAUUAAGAAACUAAAGGCACAGCAUAAAGCCCUACUGACACGAAAAGAGCUACUGGCCAAACGGCACCAGGAGAGCACUGCAAAGAUGCCCAGAAAGAACACUGGUCGAGGCUGUGGCGGCACGCAGUCUAUCAGAAAGGAAAUUCUAGAAAGACAAGCUGAUGUUGAGAAAGAGGCAGAGCGCAAAAAGCUGGAACUGAUGAAGGACAUAAAGGAACAGCGAACUCUUGUCCUGCACUAUACCAACCAACUGCAGCAGCAACAGAGAGAGCUAGACAACAUACGCUCAGAAACAUGCAAAUGGGAAAUUAAACGGGAGGACUUGCGUUCCACUGCAAAAAGAGAGGAGCUCCAGUAUGCUCAGAUAAAGGUUGGGAUUUGUUCAAUUUAUCAAAUGAUCGCACCUUACUGGAGAGCCUCUGUGGAUACUGAGGACCC
Molecule: long non-coding RNA, 597 nt
Filed under: Sinocyclocheilus grahami
Lineage: Eukaryota; Metazoa; Chordata; Actinopteri; Cypriniformes; Cyprinidae
Description: lncRNA (ENSSGRG00000050764.1)
Source: RNAcentral